AACAACCUUUUUUUUUUAAAUUAAAAUUAGAAUGAUAUAUAAAAGAUUAGCAUGGCCCCUGCACAAUGAUUUUCUCUGAUGAAGGCCUCCUAUAUUA
Molecule: small nuclear RNA, 97 nt
Filed under: Sarcophilus harrisii (Tasmanian devil)
Lineage: Eukaryota; Metazoa; Chordata; Mammalia; Dasyuromorphia; Dasyuridae
Source: RNAcentral